UACGUAGGUGGCAAGCGUUACUCGGAAUCACUGGGUGUAAAGCGCAGGUAGGCGGUUGGGUAAGUCUCUUGUGAAAGCUCCUGGCUCAACUGGGAGAGGUCAAGGGAAACUGCCUGGCUAGAGUGUGGUAGAGGAAACUGGAAUUCCCGGUGUAGCGGUGAAAUGCGUAGAUAUCGGGAGGAAUACCUAUGGCGAAAGCAGGUUUCUGGGCCAUCACUGACGCUGAGCUGCGAAAGCUAGGGGAGCAAACAGG
RNAcentral lists this ribosomal RNA (253 nucleotides) under uncultured bacterium. RNAcentral describes it as "partial 16S ribosomal RNA". It matches the Rfam family "Bacterial small subunit ribosomal RNA", at positions 524 to 776 of the family's 1533-position model. The record is from RNAcentral.